This 459-nucleotide ribosomal RNA is filed under the name uncultured bacterium. RNAcentral describes it as "partial 16S ribosomal RNA". It matches the Rfam family "Bacterial small subunit ribosomal RNA", at positions 338 to 795 of the family's 1533-position model. The record is from RNAcentral.
CCUACGUGUGGCAGCAGUGAGGAAUAUUGGUCAAUGGGCGCGAGCCUGAACCAGCCAAGUCGCGUGAGGGAAGACGGUCCUAUGGAUUGUAAACCUCUUUUGUCGGGGAGCAAAAGACGCCACGCGUGGCGUUCCGAGAGUACCCGAAGAAAAAGCAUCGGCUAACUCCGUGCCAGCAGCCGCGGUAAUACGGGGGAUGAGAGCGUUAUCCGGAUGUAUUGGGUUUAAAGGGUGCGCAGGCGGAAGAUCAAGUCAGCGGGAAAAUUGAGAGGCUCAACCUCUUCGAGCCGUUGAAACUGGUUUUCUUGAGUGAGCGAGAGGUAUGCGGAAUGCGUGGUGUAGCGGUGAAAUGCAUAGAUAUCACGCAGAACUCCGAUUGCGAAGGCAGCAUACCGGCGCUCAACUGACGCUCAUGCACGAAAGUGUGGGUAGCGAACAGGAUUAGAUACCCCUGUAGUC